Molecule: ribosomal RNA, 1364 nt
Filed under: uncultured bacterium
Lineage: Bacteria
Description: bacterial SSU rRNA
Rfam family: Bacterial small subunit ribosomal RNA
Source: RNAcentral
AUUGAACCCUGGCGGCAGGCCUAACACAUGCAAGUCGAACGGUAACAGGAAGCAGCUUGCUGCUUCGCUGACGAGUGGCGGACGGGUGAGUAAUGUCUGGGAAGCUGCCUGAUGGAGGGGGAUAACUACUGGAAACGGUAGCUAAUACCGCAUAAUGUCGCAAGACCAAAGAGGGGGACCUUCGGGCCUCUUGCCAUCGGAUGUGCCCAGAUGGGAUUAGCUUGUUGGUGGGGUAACGGCUCACCAAGGCGACGAUCCCUAGCUGGUCUGAGAGGAUGACCAGCCACACUGGAACUGAGACACGGUCCAGACUCCUACGGGAGGCAGCAGUGGGGAAUAUUGCACAAUGGGCGCAAGCCUGAUGCAGCCAUGCCGCGUGUAUGAAGAAGGCCUUCGGGUUGUAAAGUACUUUCAGCGGGGAGGAAGGGAGUAAAGUUAAUACCUUUGCUCAUUGACGUUACCCGCAGAAGAAGCACCGGCUAACUCCGUGCCAGCAGCCGCGGUAAUACGGAGGGUGCAAGCGUUAAUCGGAAUUACUGGGCGUAAAGCGCACGCAGGCGGUUUGUUAAGUCAGAUGUGAAAUCCCCGGGCUCAACCUGGGAACUGCAUCUGAUACUGGCAAGCUUGAGUCUCGUAGAGGGGGGUAGAAUUCCAGGUGUAGCGGUGAAAUGCGUAGAGAUCUGGAGGAAUACCGGUGGCGAAGGCGGCCCCCUGGACGAAGACUGACGCUCAGGUGCGAAAGCGUGGGGAGCAAACAGGAUUAGAUACCCUGGUAGUCCACGCCGUAAACGAUGUCGACUUGGAGGUUGUGCCCUUGAGGCGUGGCUUCCGGAGCUAACGCGUUAAGUCGACCGCCUGGGGAGUACGGCCGCAAGGUUAAAACUCAAAUGAAUUGACGGGGGCCCGCACAAGCGGUGGAGCAUGUGGUUUAAUUCGAUGCAACGCGAAGAACCUUACCUGGUCUUGACAUCCACGGAAGUUUUCAGAGAUGAGAAUGUGCCUUCGGGAACCGUGAGACAGGUGCUGCAUGGCUGUCGUCAGCUCGUGUUGUGAAAUGUUGGGUUAAGUCCCGCAACGAGCGCAACCCUUAUCCUUUGUUGCCAGCGGUCCGGCCGGGAACUCAAAGGAGACUGCCAGUGAUAAACUGGAGGAAGGUGGGGAUGACGUCAAGUCAUCAUGGCCCUUACGACCAGGGCUACACACGUGCUACAAUGGCGCAUACAAAGAGAAGCGACCUCGCGAGAGCAAGCGGACCUCAUAAAGUGCGUCGUAGUCCGGAUUGGAGUCUGCAACUCGACUCCACGAAGUCGGAAUCGCUAGUAAUCGUGGAUCAGAAUGCCACGGUGAAUACGUUCCCGGGCAAU